Molecule: long non-coding RNA, 6437 nt
Organism: Sapajus apella (tufted capuchin)
Lineage: Eukaryota; Metazoa; Chordata; Mammalia; Primates; Cebidae
Exons: 3
Source: RefSeq, a predicted model, not a curated record
AUUGUGGUCACUGAAGAUGGCAAUGAACAAAACAAAGUCCCUGCCUCCAUGGAGCUUAACCACUAUCCUAUAGUGCCCCAAAUUACAUGUCUUCCCUAAGGGGCUCUCCCAGAUUAAUACCACCCAGUUUCUAACCUACCUGGAUAAUCUCAACUCUUCUUCCAUUUCACAAUACACUUAAGUAGUUUAAAAAUUCAGAGUUUUAUAUUUUAGCUAAUGUGCCUGCUUUGAAACUUUUAGGUGCCAAUAGACAAUGUACCUUAGGCACCUUGAUGCACAAUCUUACCCUCUGGGGAUGACCACAAAAUUCAAUAUAACUGCUAUUUUCUAGACUAUGUUACAAUGAGAGAGAGAGAGAGAGAGAGAGAGAGAGAGAGAGAAAGAGAGAUACAUGGGAAAAUCAUUGGACCCACUUCCAAAAGAGGUUUCAUUAUAUUGUAUCUGAUGAAAGCGUUAAAAAUCCAGUUUAUUUUUCAUCAAAAAUGGUCAUGAAGCCAAUUUAGGAUUUCCUGAAUGAAGUUUGCAAUUUAGGAGUAGAGCAUUUAACCCAAAAGCCAUGGACCAUGCUGGCUUUGGACAUCAACCUGAGCUUUAUUAAAACAUUCACACCUAGGGAAAUUUCUAGAUAUUUUAACUGUAAUCAAUUAAGCUAGGUGUUACAGGGACAGCCAUAUGUUUUUCUGUUUGUUUUAUCUGACUUAGAGAAAGUGCAAUGGGGGAUAGACUUAGUAUGGAUUAAAAGGGAUACAUUUGUAUGGCUUUCGGUCACUUCCUAGUUAUUGCAGGUUAUCCUGGCAUAAGUAUGUGCAUUAGUCCAUUCUCACACUCCCAUGCAGAACUACCUGAGACUGGGUAAUGUAUAAGCGACAUCUUGGACCUCUCCUAAACCAGUCAGUCAUUAAGAUUUUUUCAUGUCAGAUAAGAGAACACUAAAAACUGAAAACAAUUUCCUCCAUCCUCUUUUUAACAUUUAAAAUAUUAUUGUCACUGCAUUCUGUAUGCUAAAAUAUGAUCUUUUUUUGCUCUUUGUAUCGGUUAGGAUAAAUUACUAAUGCUGUAGCAAAGAGCCCCUACAUGAUGGAGGCUUUCACAUUCGAGGUUUAUUUUUCAUUCAUGUCACAAGCUACUGCUGCUGCAUGCACUCAGCGACCCCUAUUCCUUCUGUUUAGUAUUCUCCAAUGGCUUCUCUGGGUCUGAAUUAGAGAAAGAUGGGAUUAGAGAAAACUCAUGGAUUAUGGUGAUCAUAGAAACAAGGCAAGACAGUGACAUGCUUCAUUUCUGCCCACAAUUCAUUAUAUCAAAUGGCUUAUAAGCUUCUGGAGUCAACUGUGUGAUCUUCAAAACUGGCAACCUGAGAACGGAGCAGGAAGUAAGUGGUUCAGCUUUGGAUACCCUGGUGGAUAGCGCUCUGAGAGUGGGAAGCAUGCCUUGUUCAGGUAAGGUCCUCUCUUCUAAAUUUGUGGAGUAUUUUGUGCAUGGUGGACAAUAAAUCACCAAUUUGUAAAGUUUCAGAAUUCAUGGCUUUUUGCCACCAAAUGGUUUGGUGUUGGGCUUUAUUUUACUUUUUUGUUUUAUAUCAAGCAUACACCUGUGUUCUAUGUAAUAUAGGUCAAAGAGGGGGGUGUUUUUAAAAAGUCUGGAAUAAAUUAAUUCCUGUUUUCCUUCUGUUAUAGUUUGAGAGAUGAUCUUUAUGUGAUACUGGCUCCUGAAGUCUUUGCUUUCACUCCUUCAAUUUAAGUGUUCACAAAUGAACACUUAAAUUCAGGAGCACUUCCAGUUUGUAAAGAAAUUGCAGUGAGUCCUCAUCAUGCAAAGAUUCCUUCUGAAUGUUUGCUAGUGAUCCCUUUGUUUCCUAAGCUUGAGUUUUUGUUUAUUGGCAUUUAUUUUUUAAAGCAGGGCAUUGCCUUAUCCACAAUUCUGGAUGCAUGGCUAUUUGGGAGAAUUGAAUGCAGCUGGAGUUGGGGUGGGAAUUAUUCAAAAGCUACUCAAAAGACUUAUUAAACAAAAAGUCAGGAGCAUAGAUUCAAGGUCACGAGUUAGAACCCUGGGGUCAGAACGAGCUCAAUUCUCUUGGAAAUAAUAAGGCUGACCUUUCAGGAGGGCGGUUUUGUGAAGAUGGCCAUAUAGAUAGCACUUGGGAUUCACAUGCAAGAGAAACAUUUUUGGCAAAUGCACUCAUUGCCUUUUGCUCUUACUUCAGAGCUGCAAGAGUUAUGGGAACCACUCUCGGAUUCAGGACUGCUUUCAAAGAAGCAAGGGCUUCUUAUACAGCCCUACUUCCGGGCAGCCAUUUUGUAUUCCUGUGAGGGGCCCAGGGAACAGAGAUGGAAGUGUCUGAAAUACGGGGGUGGAGAGGAAGUUCAGGAAAGAGGCUAGGGCAACCAGGCUGCUUGUCAAACAAGUGGAGAAGGCGUAGGAGGAAAAGCCAUUUGGUGUUUCUCUUUCUCUCUUUUGAGUACCUUUUCCAGGAGCUACUCCUCUGACUCUUGAAGAGGGAUGGUCACUCCAGUGAGAUGCUACCUCUCUGUGCAUAAAGGCCCCACAGGUGGCCUGACCCUCGUGGGGCUUGGGCUUGGAGGAUUUCCUGCCCCGAUCGAAGAGUCCCAUUGUUUUCUCCCCCCUCCCCUAGCUGUAGUUAGAAUUAUCCUGGGGGCAUAGAAUAGGGCAGAGUUAACUGUUCACCGUGGGGUUGUACCCUCCUUGCAAGUCUUACUAUGCUCAGUGUCUUGAUUGACUCUAUCUCACUGGGCUGAGUAGACAAAAAACUGGACCCUCAUUGGCACCCUCUCUGCCCUGGCCUGCAGCUGCUCUGUGCUCGGCCUGGGGAGGCCAGGGACACCUAUCUGCUGGCUGACACAGGAAAGGGAAUAAACGCUGGGAAGGGAGAUCCUAAACCCUUCUCCUGUGGUCCCAAACUUAGGCUAAGCAGGUAGCCACCCAUACAAAAAGUACAGAAAGGCUGGCAACUACAUAAUCUGUCGCUUCCAUAGGGUCACUUCUGUGAGUGAAAAGGGGCAUUAAAUAGUUAUGUUUGGGCAACAGGAAAGACCUGGGUACCUUGAUGUCAACUCAAUUGGCAGACAUUUCCUAAGCAUCUCUGUAAUAGACCUGUCGCUUCCGUAAUUGGAUACAGACGUGUCAACAAGUAAUGACAAGAUAGAGUUAGGUGGAACUCUAAUAAUGGAAGCAGGUACACAGGCAACAAAAAGAGGGCAACGUUACUUUCUGGGGGCAGGGGUGGGGGAAUAGUCAGGAAGCCUUCAAAGCAAGGGGCUUAGAAAGAUAAAGGUUUCAUAGGCAUAUAGAUGAGGAAAGGGAUUCUAGAAAGAGAACAGCAAAUGAAAGUCACAGAUACCUGAAAAUACACAGCAUGUGGGAGGGAUUGGAAGAAAAGUGGCAAUGAUGGAGAGCAAAUGUGAAGUAGGAGAGUCAGGACUCAGGCCAACUGAAUCCCGUCACGAUGCCACAUCAGCCAGCUUGCACAUGCUUGUGAGAGCAGGAGCAGCAAACUGUGGCCCUUGGGACAAUUCAGCCUGCUGCCUGUUUUUGUGAAUCAAGUUUUAUUGGAAUACAGCCGAGCUCAUUGAUUAGGUAGCAACUAUGGCUGCUUUCACGUGAUAACAACAGAGUGAGUAGUUGCAACAGAAACUAACACUAGGUUAGUUAGUUAUCUAAAUAGUUAUGUUUGGGCAACAGGCAAGAACUGGGUACCUUGAUCUCAACUCAAUCAGCAGACAUUUCCUAAGCAGCUCUGUAACAGGCCUGUCCCUUCCAUAAUUGGAUACAGAUGUGUCAACAAGUAAUGACAAGAUAGAGUUGGGGAAACUCUAAUAAUGGAAGCAGGUGCAAAGCCUGCAAUAUCUACUAUUUGUUUCUUUAUAGACAAAGGUUGGCAAGUCCUGGCUAACAGCCAUGGUGGAAACACUGAAGGACUUUAAGUAAUGAUGUAACCAUGUCUCUGAUUUAGAAAGAUCUCACCAUAUCAGAUGGGCGAUAGACUGGGGAAGGAAGAAAGGUGGGAGGCUACUGUGACAGGCUUUGAUUCAUGCAAACAGCCUUUCCUGAGGGCCCACUCUGUGCCAGACACUGUGCCAGACUGGAUGCAGAGAUGAGGACACAAUCCACUCCUUAUGACCACUGCAAACAAGAACAGGUAAAAGCCUGGACCAAGGCAGUAGAAAUGAGGAUGGAUGGGAGGGGAUAGACCAGAGAGAGGUUUAGAGAGUUAGAGUGAGAGAUUCUGGGGCUCCGGGUUUGGGACCAGGUGGUUGACAGUGUCCUUCCCUGAGAUGGGGACACUAAGGAGAAGCAGUUUUACUUCCAUUUCACUCCCCCUUAACCCUUUUGAACUUGCUACACUUGCCUUAUGAGACGAAAUUCUUAAGAGAUUUCAAGAGAUAGAGUGGUUUUAACUGGAUUUAGAUCUAUCUGAGACAGGCACCUAAACAAAAACUAACUUAACCAAGUAUUGCCAUCUUAAUUCAUUGUCACUUAGAAAAGAGCCAAGCCCCCACUGAAUUUGAAGGAAAAGGUCCUGCCUGGAGCCAUGGAAUACCCCUGCUGUAGCUGCUACCCUGAGCUGACAGGUAGAAGGGACUGAUUUCCUCAUGCUGGUGACCCCAAUAGGUGCUCCACAAAUAUGCAUUGGAUGAAAGUCUGAGACCAAAUCACUUAGGGUCUUGGCAAAUAAAGAGGGCACACUCAAGGGCUUCAAUCGGAGACUGUUUAGUCAGGGGCUCUGGACAGACAUGUCGGCAGGUGAGUGGAGCAUUGGAGAUGGUGUGAGGCAGCCAGAGGCUAGCAACAGCAGAAACCAUCCCCUCUUCUAAGCUUGAAGGAGAAGAAGAGGCAUAACCAAAACAAAUGUGAAACAGCGAUCAAUCAGAGAGAGCUGGGGCUGUAAGGAACUCCAGCCACUGCUGAAACCGUGACCUGGCAUAGAGCAACAGAGGCAUAGCUAGGGGAAGAGGAGGAGUGAACACUCUAGCUCUAACACUCCAACUCUCACCCCUAUGCUCUCAUCUGCUGGUAUCUCCAUUGGGUACGUUCCAUCAGAUCCCCCAGCCGGGGACCAAGGUAACACAGCAAGUGGGGCCAUCUCCCUCACAUACAGAGCCUGGAAGAGAAGAGCCUUUUUCUGAUUCCUUUUAGUUUUGCAAGCUUGGUAUGGUCACACUUUAUUGAAUUGGUAGUGGCAUUACUGAAGUACUUGGACAGACAUCAUUAUUUAGAUAAAUAAUAUUCAUUGGUUGCAUAUUCUUGCAGUUCUGGAGCACCUAAGAAGUGCCAGGUACUUUACUAUGAGUCACAUACAGAGAUGGCUAGAGGGUCUUGCAAAGAUAUUGCCAUCUGAGGGCACCCAUGAACACAAAACUUUUAAGUAUUCCAGCAGUAUAGAUUACUGGAAGUGGAGUCCUGGGCCAGGGGGAAUUCAUGCUUUCUGUUUGGUAGACACUGACAAAUCACCUGUCUAAAAGGGCCGAUGUACACUCUACCAGGAUUAGAGCGUGCCUUUUUAUUUAUUUAUUUAUUUUCAUCAUGCUUUCUCUUGGUCCCUGAUGAGGUUAAGCAUCUUUUCACAUGUUUUUCAGUCCUUCAUAAUUUUUCUUUUGUGAAAUACAGUAUUUAGAGCUUGGUGUCUGAAAUCAGACUGCUAGGCGGAUGCAAACUCUGUCUUUGCCACUCAUGAGCUGUGUGAUCUUGAGCAAGAUAUUUAACCCUUCAGUACUCCCCUUCCUCAUGAGUAACAUGAGGAUAGUGUCAUUAGCUACUCUUUGGGGUUUUGCAGACUAAGUGCUUAGACACUGCCUGGCACAGGGUAAGCUUGAUGUAAGGGUUGGCUAUUGUAAUAUUUGACCAUGUCUUUUUGCUUAUUUUUCUCUCCUAAUGAUGUUAAAGGGUGACCAGAGUUGAAGACCACAAGGCAGAAAACAGCCUGUUUCUGUGGCUCUUGAUAGAUGUAUACAUACACACACACAUACACAGAGCAACAGGACUGAAUCAUCCUGUUUCUGAAAUGGUCUUCUGGCUCCUGUGUUGUGAUGUGCACUCAGAUGAUAACAUUUCACUUUCCUACCUGGACCACAGACAAGGGUAUGUGCUGAUGAGUGGAGGGCCAUUUGAGUGCUUUGGGUUUCCUGGCAACUCUGGAAUCUUGAGUUGUUGGAAUUUGACCAGAGGUUCUCCCAGAGUGAGUUUGCUGCAGGGAGUGACAGCUGCCCCCUGUGCAUUGUUCAGGGCAAGCCUAGAGGUCCUUGAGCCUUUGCUCUGGCAGCCACCAGAUGGAACCCCUGGAGCUCUGGGCUAUAGGAGGCCAGGUGCUCUGUACUCUCACUUGCAGUGGGCUGAGGGCUGUGGUUGUGGCUGCCUGCGCUAUUGCUGCCAUUGGGGAGAUCACACGCCCACAAGGGGAAUGCCUCAAGUGAAUGAAAAAAAAA